AUCGGUAAAAUCGGAUCGAACCGGACUGGAAACCGAUAAAACCGGAGUAUCGGUUUAGGAGGGUAAUCGGUGCAUAAUCGGUUUUGAAAAAUACAAAACCGGUGCAUACCUGUUCGGUCCUAAAUUUUGUCUAAAAUCGGACCAAACCGGACCGGUUACACCCCUAAAGGGUAGUAAUAUCUCGAAGCCAAGGCCAACAACUAAAAUAGAUUAUAAGGCGAAAGUAAAUGCAACAUUGAACAAGAAUGACAAAUGGUUAGUAACCACUGUUGAAAAUAUGUACAACCACAUAACUGUUAGCCCUAAGAAGACAAGACUUUUGCAAUUUCACAAGUGUCUAGAUAAAUACAGUCAAAGGAUCCUUGAGCUCAAUGAUAGAGCUGGUAUAUGAAUACAGUCAAAGGAUUCUAUGUAGGCAUGCACUUAGAGUUUGUCAGUUGAAAAAAAUUAAUGUGUUGCCAGAUCGUUACAUCUUGGAUCGUUGGAGAAAUGACUUAAAGAUGAUAUACACAUUACUCAGAAGUAGUUACGAUGACCAGCAAGCUAGAUUUGACGCAAGGAAUUAUGAGCUUGUGGUUAAAAGACGUUCGCAAUUAGCAACCAAAAUAUCCUUAGAUAAUAAAAAAGUCAAUACAUUCCUGUGUAUUGUUAAUGAGUUUGACGCAAAAUGUGAAAGUUCAACUCCACCAAAGUUGACUUUUGAACAAAUGAAGGGAAAACUAAAUGUAGUCUUGGAGAAGGGUAAGAAGAUAUUAAGCCCCAACGUGAUCCGAGGGAAAUAGAGACCCCCAAAUAAGAGGAAGGUUCUCCCGUGGAAAAGAUGGCAACAAAGAGGAAGAAACCUUUAAUAAUUGUCGAAAUUUGCAAUGUUAAUACUUAAUAUGACGAUUCUAAUAUAUGCCUAUUUUUGUUUUGAAACUUAAACUUACAGGAAAAUCUUGGUAGAUGAGCCACAAUUGGGUGACACCCUGGGAUUUCAACAGGACCAAUUUGAUGAUGGGGUUAGUUUUGGAAUGCAAAACAGUAUUCUUACACAAUCAACUCCACCAGGAAAUGAGAUUAACUGUGUCUUUUCAAUAAGUGAUGACCAAAGAUGAAUACAUGAAGUUCCUUUCUGAACAACUUAAUCAAAUAUAAAGGCUUCUUCUUUUGGCAUCCCUUUGCAGAGCCUUUUUGAAGCUAAAGGUAUUGCUGGUAAUAAUGUAUUAUUGUGUCCUAGGAUUUAUUUUUGAGAUUUAUUUUUGGUUGGCUUGCUUUUAAAGCUAGAGGGGAAGGCCCCAUUUGCAAGGUUCGUUUAUUUUUAUUUUGCUCAACUGAGAGGAAUGUUGUCAAUCCCAAGAUAAUGUAAACGCAACUACUUGAGAGUUUCCAUUUCUUUAUGUAA
Carya illinoinensis is the source of this 1384-nucleotide long non-coding RNA. RefSeq lists it as uncharacterized. The transcript is spliced from 2 exons. The record is from RefSeq and is a predicted model, not a curated record. NCBI's taxonomy places the organism in Eukaryota, Viridiplantae, Streptophyta, Magnoliopsida, Fagales, Juglandaceae.